RNAcentral lists this ribosomal RNA (490 nucleotides) under uncultured bacterium. Its description in RNAcentral is "partial 16S ribosomal RNA". It matches the Rfam family "Bacterial small subunit ribosomal RNA", at positions 30 to 507 of the family's 1533-position model. The record is from RNAcentral.
AUUGAACGCUGGCGGCAGGCCUAACACAUGCAAGUCGAACGGUAACAGGAAGAAGCUUGCUUCUUUGCUGACGAGUGGCGGACGGGUGAGUAAUGUCUGGGAAACUGCCUGAUGGAGGGGGAUAACUACUGGAAACGGUAGCUAAUACCGCAUAACGUCGCAAGACCAAAGAGGGGGACCUUCGGGCCUCUUGCCAUCGGAUGUGCCCAGAUGGGAUUAGCUAGUAGGUGGGGUAACGGCUCACCUAGGCGACGAUCCCUAGCUGGUCUGAGAGGAUGACCAGCCACACUGGAACUGAGACACGGUCCAGACUCCUACGGGAGGCAGCAGUGGGGAAUAUUGCACAAAGGGCGCAAGCCUGAUGCAGCCAUGCCGCGUGUAUGAAGAAGGCCUUCGGGUUGUAAAGUACUUUCAGCGGGGAGGAAGGGAGUAAAGUUAAUACCUUUGCUCAUUGACGUUACCCGCAGAAGAAGCAACGGCUAACUCCGUG